This is a non-coding RNA of Vagococcus lutrae LBD1, 84 nucleotides long. The record is from Rfam. Lineage: Bacteria; Bacillati; Bacillota; Bacilli; Lactobacillales; Enterococcaceae.
GCGGUUGUGGCGGAACGGCAGACGCACUACCUUGAGGGGGUAGCGAAGAAAUUCUUCGUGUGAGUUCAAAUCUCAUCAACCGCA